GUUGUUGGGUAGGGGAGCGUUCUGUAAGCCUGCGAAGGUGUGCUGUGAGGCAUGCUGGAGGUAUCAGAAGUGCGAAUGCUGACAUAAGUAACGAUAAAGCGGGUGAAAAGCCCGCUCGCCGGAAGACCAAGGGUUCCUGUCCAACGUUAAUCGGGGCAGGGUGAGUCGACCCCUAAGGCGAGGCCGAAAGGCGUAGUCGAUGGGAAACAGGUUAAUAUUCCUGUACUUGGUGUUACUGCGAAGGGGGGACGGAGAAGGCUAUGUUGGCCGGGCGACGGUUGUCCCGGUUUAAGCGUGUAGGCUGGUUUUCCAGGCAAAUCCGGAAAAUCAAGGCUGAGGCGUGAUGACGAGGCACUACGGUGCUGAAGCAACAAAUGCCCUGCUUCCAGGAAAAGCCUCUAAGCAUCAGGUAACAUCAAAUCGUACCCCAAACCGACACAGGUGGUCAGGUAGAGAAUACCAAGGCGCUUGAGAGAACUCGGGUGAAGGAACUAGGCAAAAUGGUGCCGUAACUUCGGGAGAAGGCACGCUGAUAUGUAGGUGAAGUCCCUCGCGGAUGGAGCUGAAAUCAGUCGAAGAUACCAGCUGGCUGCAACUGUUUAUUAAAAACACAGCACUGUGCAAACACGAAAGUGGACGUAUACGGUGUGACGCCUGCCCGGUGCCGGAAGGUUAAUUGAUGGGGUCAGCGCAAGCGAAGCUCUUGAUCGAAGCCCCGGUAAACGGCGGCCGUAACUAUAACGGUCCUAAGGUAGCGAAAUUCCUUGUCGGGUAAGUUCCGACCUGCACGAAUGGCGUAAUGAUGGCCAGGCUGUCUCCACCCGAGACUCAGUGAAAUUGAACUCGCUGUGAAGAUGCAGUGUACCCGCGGCAAGACGGAAAGACCCCGUGAACCUUUACUAUAGCUUGACACUGAACAUUGAGCCUUGAUGUGUAGGAUAGGUGGGAGGCUUGAAGUGUGGACGCCAGUCUGCAUGGAGCCGACCUUGAAAUACCACCCUUUAAUGUUUGAUGUUCUAACGUUGACCCGUAAUCCGGGUUGCGGACAGUGUCUGGUGGGUAGUUUGACUGGGGCGGUCUCCUCCUAAAGAGUAACGGAGGAGCACGAAGGUUGGCUAAUCCUGGUCGGACAUCAGGAGGUUAGUGCAAUGGCAUAAGCCAGCUUGACUGCGAGCGUGACGGCGCGAGCAGGUGCGAAAGCAGGUCAUAGUGAUCCGGUGGUUCUGAAUGGAAGGGCCAUCGCUCAACGGAUAAAAGGUACUCCGGGGAUAACAGGCUGAUACCGCCCAAGAGUUCAUAUCGACGGCGGUGUUUGGCACCUCGAUGUCGGCUCAUCACAUCCUGGGGCUGAAGUAGGUCCCAAGGGUAUGGCUGUUCGCCAUUUAAAGUGGUACGCGAGCUGGGUUUAGAACGUCGUGAGACAGUUCGGUCCCUAUCUGCCGUGGGCGCUGGAGAACUGAGGGGGGCUGCUCCUAGUACGAGAGGACCGGAGUGGACGCAUCACUGGUGUUCGGGUUGUCAUGCCAAUGGCACUGCCCGGUAGCUAAAUGCGGAAGAGAUAAGUGCUGAAAGCAUCUAAGCACGAAACUUGCCCCGAGAUGAGUUCUCCCUGACUCCUUGAGAGUCCUGAAGGAACGUUGAAGACGACGACGUUGAUAGGCCGGGUGUGUAAGCGCAGCGAUGCGUUGAGCUAACCGGUACUAAUGAACCGUGAGGCUUAACCU
This 1724-nucleotide ribosomal RNA is filed under the name Escherichia coli 1-110-08_S1_C2. Its description in RNAcentral is "bacterial LSU rRNA". It matches the Rfam family "Bacterial large subunit ribosomal RNA", at positions 1220 to 2925 of the family's 2925-position model. The record is from RNAcentral. Lineage: Bacteria; Pseudomonadati; Pseudomonadota; Gammaproteobacteria; Enterobacterales; Enterobacteriaceae.